Molecule: long non-coding RNA, 638 nt
Organism: Nematostella vectensis (starlet sea anemone)
Lineage: Eukaryota; Metazoa; Cnidaria; Anthozoa; Actiniaria; Edwardsiidae
Exons: 2
Source: RefSeq, a predicted model, not a curated record
CAAAAUCAUAACGGUCGAACGAAGGCCAUUAUCUUAACCUCCCAACAGAUAGCCGAUUAUUCCCCUCUUUUCUACGCGUAAUUCACAUUUUUUAAGGAUUUGAUGGCAGAAAAUGGAUUGAAGUAAAAGGACAUUAUGAUAGAGAUAGUAUAAUGUGCUCGAGUUUCAAAGCCAGAAAAGAAAGAAAUUGGAGGUAUAUGGAAUGUAUCAAUGCGUAAAUCGCAAGAAACGAAUGAAAACUUCGUAAACUUAAGUUAUUCACUAAUCACUGUACUUACAUCUAAAGCGCCUAUGCUUUAUGAACUGUUACUUGAAGUACAAAAUUGAAUAACUUAGCUUAGUAAAAACCUAGUAAUCAGUCUUGCACCUAAAAUUUGUCCAGAUAUUUAUUUUGAAUAUCUAAUGUUACUGUAGUUGGUUUUUGUCCGUAUAUUCUGAUCACAUUAAACCCUGCAUAUGAAGAACCUAGUUAUCUUUUCAAGCUAGCCUACCAGGUUCAAAUUUAAAUGGUGCAUAUAGAGGUAUUAGGCUUCUAGCUUCUUAUCUGGAUAUACAAAGAUGGAGGAGGAGGCAGUUCUUUUGGAAAACCGUAAUGACGCCAAAAAGGGUAAUGUUCAAAAGCUGUUAAAGUUGUUAUA